CCCAACAACAAACCAGCAGAGCUUUCUCGGGAGCCCUGGCGCACUCACCCAGACACAACCUGUCUUUCCUCUCUCCCUGUGUUUGUCUCUCUCUGCUGCCUCUUGUGCGUGCAUGCCAGACUGACGGGCGCAUUCAGUCUCUACAAGUCUUUUCACGCAUCGUGACACAUCGCCAUCCAGAGAUACACAAACCUCACCCUCUCCCUCCCCUCAACUCCGCACCUUCACCUUCCACACCCGGCUUCAUCCACGCAUCGCUUUCGACGUGCCCAUCAUCAUCAUUUUUUUUUGUUGUUUUCUUCUAGAGAAAGUGCGCGUGCGCGCCUAAUCGUUUCUUAUUACUAUUUUAUUUGCUCGUUACGGCUCUCUUCUGUACUCGAUCCUCCCGUAGACGCACAAGUCAGCGCCAGCGAACGCCUCGCUGUUGGACAGCACCGAGGGUGCACGGCCGCCUUCUGCUUUUUUGCCCACAUAUAUAUAUGUGGGCGCUUUAGUGGUGGUGGCUCUGCUCACAAGUGCGCUUUCCAUGCUGUGUAUCACAUACCUCUUUCAUCUCAGCAGUUUUCACACCUCCUCUUUCUUCUAGGCACCUCGUUUUGCUUCUUUCAAUAUAGAUUGGGCUGUUUUUCGAGUUGUCUUCUCGGCGGGUGGACACGAGUUUGGCGAUAGCCGAAGGGCUUGUUUGGUUCUUGCUCUCUCCGCAGACCCUUCACUCACAUCCUUGUUGUUGCAUCUCCACUUGUCUCCAUCUCUCUCUCUCUUUCUGUUUCUCUCCUGAGGCCACAG
This 786-nucleotide unclassified non-coding RNA is filed under the name Leishmania donovani. Its description in RNAcentral is "gene:unknown". The record is from RNAcentral. Lineage: Eukaryota; Euglenozoa; Kinetoplastea; Trypanosomatida; Trypanosomatidae.